CGGAGGGUGCAAGCGUUACCCGGAAUCACUGGGCGUAAAGGGCGUGUAGGCGGGAAGUUAAGUCUGGCUUUAAAGCCCACGGCUCAACCGUGGAGAUGGGCUGGGUACUGGCUUUCUAGACCUCUGGAGAGAGAACUGGAAUUCCUGGUGUAGCGGUGGAAUGCGUAGAUACCAGGAGGAACACCAAUGGCGAAGGCAGGUUCUUGGACAGAAGGUGACGCUGAGGCGCGAAAGUGUGGGGGAGCGAACCGGAUU
This 255-nucleotide ribosomal RNA is filed under the name uncultured bacterium. Its description in RNAcentral is "partial 16S ribosomal RNA". It matches the Rfam family "Bacterial small subunit ribosomal RNA", at positions 526 to 779 of the family's 1533-position model. The record is from RNAcentral.